RNAcentral lists this signal recognition particle RNA (101 nucleotides) under Planctomycetota bacterium. Its description in RNAcentral is "signal recognition particle sRNA small type". It matches the Rfam family "Bacterial small signal recognition particle RNA". From Rfam's summary of the family: The signal recognition particle (SRP) is a universally conserved ribonucleoprotein involved in the co-translational targeting of proteins to membranes. Archaeal SRP consists of a 7S RNA and homologues of the eukaryotic SRP19 and SRP54 proteins. The record is from RNAcentral. Lineage: Bacteria; Pseudomonadati; Planctomycetota.
GGCGGUCGGCCUCAUAGUCGGACGUCCUGCGAACCUGGUCAGGGCUUGACGGCAGCAGCCAUAAGUGGUGUCGCUCGAGCUUUGGGUCCCCGGCCGUCCUU